This 11566-nucleotide small RNA is filed under the name Caenorhabditis elegans. Its description in RNAcentral is "Unclassified non-coding RNA T07G12.20". The record is from RNAcentral. Lineage: Eukaryota; Metazoa; Nematoda; Chromadorea; Rhabditida; Rhabditidae.
GAACAACGUCGGCUGCUCUAAAGUUUGGAUCAUGGAGGGCUCCGUCUGCACAAAUCCUAGACCCGAAAGCUCUACACAUUCUGAAGAAAGUACAAUCGAACCAGUUGUACCACUAAGUACAACUCUGGCCACUAACAAGCUUCCUCGAUUUUCAACUCCUGCUAUCGGCCAUUCAAAUAAUAAUUCCAGUAAAAAUUUCACAUUGAAUUUGGCUGAGAAGCUCUCAGAGAUACUAUCGGAUGACGAUAAAACUGAUGAAUUCCUGGAGAACUCUCAUCAAUCCGAAACUUCGAAGGACGACGUGAUUAAAGAUUUGCUCGAAGAAAUGGUACAAACGGUUGCCAAUUCUAAUAAACCUCCGAUUCUUUUGAGCACAACUCUCGCAAAUGUUGGUGUUCCCCGCUUUUCAACUCCCAUCAAACCACAACAUGCAUUGAAUCGAGAUUUCACGAUGAACAUGACAGAAAUGAUUUCCGAAAUCGAUUCGAAUUAUGAAGGUUAUGAAUUAUUCGACGAUUCCUCCAAUGACUGUACCACCUUGACCCCCAACUGCCAGGAGGUCGAAUCGUCAUUUUAUCGAGCACUUUCUGAAGCAGCUAGUUCCAUUGUUCCAUAUCAGGAAGGAAAGAGAAGAAGCUCGAGACGUUUGAGUACUCUGAGUAGUCUCAAGGAAACUGUCAAAGUAGAGCCUGCAGUUUCAAAAUUAACGAAGAGAAGACGGCUCACGUAAGAAUUUUUCUGUGACGAGAAUUCUGCCCGUUCAGAGAUCGCUGCAGAUCGAAUUAUCAUAACUUCAAUUUCUUUUUUAAAAAACGGAUUUAUUAGCAUGAAUAUAUUCAAAAUUUCAAUAAUCCGAAUCACCGUCGAAGUUAUGUACUUAAGAGUUUCAUUAUUUUUCAGACCGGUUGAAUGUUCAAGUGAAACUAUGAUUCCACACUCCCAACCAAUACCACUGGAUACUUGCUCAGAUCAACCCAUUUUUCCCAAUUCGACACACAAUGCUAUUCAAUCUGAUGGAUUCUCAUAUGAACAACCUAUUUGUGAAUUUGGAGAUAGUCAAUUGUUUUUGUCAGCAAAAAGUCUUUGCACUGAGCCGAACAGUUCUAUUGCUGAGGAUGUGAAGCCGGUUUUGACAGUUUCGGAUUCCGACAUAACAGCUUCCAACAGGAAUAAUAUCGAUGAUCAUAAUCGAGUCAUAGAACUGUCAACUGAGGUAUGAUUUGAGUAAUUUCCUUUAUUUUUAAUUUGUAAAUCAUCACAACUGACAAGGGAAGUCUUUGAGGGGGUCCCUAGAUUUGGGAUUCUCAUGUUGAAAUUCCAAUAGAAGAGUAUUCCAGAUGAUCCCUCCAAAAAAUUUAGCUGCCCAGGUUGGGUUUCAGCAAAGUUAUGACGUUUUGAAAAUUCGGUCUGAAAUCGGUUGAUUUGUAUACUAAAUCAACGGUCGGCAUCGGCCCGGGACACCAUAGUUGUCACCAGGCGCGUGGUGUGAGCAAAUCAUCGGUUGGUUGGUUGAGUGGUAACGAGAUGGGUUCUGGUGGUGAAGGUUGUGGGUUCGAUCCCUUGCGUUAUAAAGCUUUUUUUAAAAGUUUUUACUGUAUUUUAAAAACAGUAAAAAGUGUGAUUGAAAUUACUUUUACUGACUUUCUCCACCUUUUUGAGUUUCUUAUAAACGUUUGCAUCACAUUUUCUCACAUUUUUUGAAUUAAAAAAAUUUCAAAAAAAUCAAAAUUUUCAUCAUCAAAGUCAUGAAAAAAAAUAGAAAUCUCAGAUUUUCAGAUAACUAUAAAAAACCCACCGAAAGAUUAUUUUCAUUAUUAAACUCAUGGUUAAAACGUAUUUCGCGAUAAACUGGGCCGUGACCGACGGAAAGGGCCACUGGUGUAAACCGCCGUUUUUGUUCGAAUUUUUUUUUAGUAAUUUCACCGUUUUUUUGUUGUUUUUACUUAUUGAAUUAAAGGUAAAUGCCGUUCCGUGCUGAUCUUAUUGUUGGAGGACUGGUGGAAGAGUUUGGACAUGAAUAUAAUCCAAGUUUCAUGAGCCGCGAGGAACAAAAAAUUCUCGAACGUGUUCGAAGAAUAUUGCGUGAUGGAAAAACUCAUGAGCUGAUCGUGUAUAGUGAGGAUGAAGAGGAAAUUGUCGGUGGAAUAGUAGAGGAUGAAAAUUGGACAGCAGACGAUGAUGGUCCCACUACUUAUGCUCUUCCGGACAAAGUAAAUUUCUCGGGAAAUCUAGUAGAUGUGGAGACUGUGAGUUUUCAACUAUGUCUAAAAAGUUUGUAAAAGAAAGACGUUUUUACGGUUUUCGAAAGCCACCGUAUUUUUAUAAAUGCUACCAACUUAUGUGUAUGUUUUGAAUUGUAAUACUGUUAUCAAUACAGGUUGAAAAGGCUAUUGAAUUUAUGAUGGAUACAAAACAUAACAAGUUCCUCACAAUGUCCAGUGUACAGCAUCGUUACCGUUUUAUCAAGUCAGAAAAGGAUAUGAAGAAGCUCCGAAAGUUCGCUAGAAAUCGUCAGUUUUCUUUUUCCAUAUUCUCGGUGCACAACUAUUUAUUUGUUUUAGAAAAAGUCAAUUGUUCUCGAGCUUCCAGCUUCGCAAAACUGUCAGAACUUUUGAGAGCAAAAGUUUUUGAGACAAUGGAAGCAAGUGAGUGUUUGAUUGCAAAUUAAAUUUGCAUGCUUUAUUUUUUAGAAGUUCAAAUCGACAAGCUCACACUUCGACGAAUGGCAGUUGAUCUAAAUGAAGAGUUUGUGCACAUUGACGAUUUCAAGGCUUCAGACGAUUGGCUCGCAAAAUGGAAGAAGUCAAAUGGUUUGGUAUCUCGUCAUAUCACUACUUUUGUGACCAAAGCUAGUUUCGCAAAUAAAGAAAAGACAGAAGAAGCGGCAAAGAAGUAUGUUGAUGAUAUGAAACUAGAACUGCAAACGCUCGAUCCAAAUACAGCUUUCAACUGUGAUCAGUGCGGAUUCACGAAGGAGCAAUAUUGCAAAAGGUUCGCCUUGAAAAGAGCAACUUUUAUGAAAUAAACUUUUCAGAACUCUCGCACCGAGGGGGGUGAAACGUGUUGAGAGACUUGUCCAAUCAAAAGAUGCCUUAUCUCACUCGUAUACCAUUCUCCCAAUGUUGAGUGUGACGGGAAAGCUCGCUCCAAAACUCUACAUCGUUUUGCAGGUAGAAAAUGCGUAUCAUUCAUUGCAGUCUUCUCAACUUUAACUUUUUCAAAAAGUAAUAUAUUACAGGAAAAAGGAGGCAAGUUUCCCAAGAAAGGUCACUGUUCUCCGUCCAACCUCAUCGUUCGUGCCAACUCCAGUCACAUUAUGACCAAAGAUUUAAUGAGAGAUUGGGUUGAAAGUGCAGUGUGCGAUCCUGCGAUGCCGAAGAAAACCGUUCUUCUCCUUGACUCAUGGCCAGCAUGGAAAAAUGAAAGGGACGUACAAGACGCUGCGCUAUAUGGACACACGGUCCACGUUCGUACGAUUCCACCUGGAGCGACUUCUUUCAUUCAACCUUGUGACAUCUACCUCUUCUGCCCAAUGAAAAACUUCGUCAAAAAAGUUCAAUCCCAUAUCAUCUACGCUGGAAUCGAGUUCAAGCCCCAUGAGCGUGACAAUAUUCUCCGUUUGAUUUCGGCCGUGUACUUCUUUUUCUGUGCACCCAGAUUCGAGACAUGCUGGCAGUACGGUUGGUUCAAAGGAGGCUACAUUGACUCACAUCCAUCUGAAUUCGAGACACCUUCCAAAUACUGUCUCGAAGCUACUGGCAAAUGCAUACUACAAUGCCAAAACGCGGCAUAUGUCCGUUGUCCAUAUUGCAAAAAAUGUAUCUGCUUUCACCAUUGGGUGGGAAGUGGAUUCCCAGCUCACAGAUGCUCCUAAUUCACGAGUUUAUUACUUUUUUUAAAAAUUAACGUUAUGUUCUGUUCGUUCUGCUAAUUUCUUCCGGCGUGUUUUCAAAAUUUUCUGAGAUUUCUAUUUUUUUUUCAUGACUUUGAUGAUGAAAAUUUUGAUUUUUUUUGAAAUUUUUUUAAUUCAAAAAAUGUGAGAAAAUGUGAUGCAAACGUUUAUAAGAAACUCAAAAAGGUGGAGAAAGUCAGUAAAAGUAAUUUCAAUCACACUUUUUACUGUUUUUAAAAUACAGUAAAACUUUUAAAAAAAGCUUUAUAACGCAAGGGAUCGAACCCACAACCUUCACCACCAGAACCCAUCUCGUUACCACACAGGUAAACCGCGUCAUGCGAGCAACUGGUGAAUAACGAACGAACAGCCGCUAACACGCGAAAUGUGAUUGUAAACAACAAAUAAUUUUGUGAAAAAUGUUUUCCACUGAUUUUUAAACUUUCAUAAGGAUCCCCUUAUGAUUCCUCCGAUGUUCCAAUUUUGAGCAAAAGGGUCCCCCCUUAUGGUUGAAAAAAGUUUUUCGCCUAAAUUUUUUUUUUGAAAACUUUUCAAAAUUUGCUCAGAUGUUACAGAAAAUGCAAUGUUUGUAGUUUUUUUUUAGUUUCAAUGUUCUAAACACAAUUUCAGACCAAAACCUGAGGUGUAGUAUGUAGAACACCUAUGUUCAAAAACGCUUUCACUUUGGAUGCUUAUAUCUCCGUGGAAAAAUUUUUUGUGACAAAGCGAUCAACUACAAAGUUGUUUAUUUUAAUCUAAUGUACAACUUUGUAGUUGAACGUUUUUCUUCAAAAAAAUUGGUGGUCGAGAUAGGAACAGAAAAAGAAGUAGAAAAUAAAAGCAUGAAGCUUCCGCAAUUAACACAACUUUAUCUCGACCACCAAUUUUUUUGAUGAGAAACGUUCAACUACAAAGUCGUACAUUAGAUUAAGAUAAUCAACUCUGUAGUUGAUUGCUUUGUCAUAAAAAUUUUUUCCACGGAGAUAUAAGCAUCCAAAGUGAAAGCGUUUUUGAACAUAGGUGUUCUAAUACACUUCAGGUUUUCGUUUGAACUCGUGUUCAGCACAUCGAAACUAAAAAAACAAUCAUUUUUACAUUUUUCUAUAACAUCUGAUCAAAUUAUGAAAAGUUUUCAAAAAAAAAAAUUUCGAAAAAAUUUUAGAAAAUUUUCAUAAGGGGGGAGCCUUUGGAUUUUUUUUCAUAAAAAUCGAAAAAUUUUUUUUUUCAAAAGUUGUCAAAUAUUUAUCAGAUAUUGUAGAAAUAUGUUUACUUGUUCGUUUCAAUAAGUUUUCUUACCAAAUGUGGUGCUUUCGAAAACUAACAAACUGUAAAAACCUCUAUCCCUCUAACAGAUCUACCUGAUAUGCCAGUUUUUCGAAGUCAUGUCCCACAUCGGGCAAGCAAGAUAUCUAAAAAUUGUCAACUACAAACUUUUUUAGUUUGUUAUUGAACAUGUUUCAUACUUAAUAGUUUUUUGCUUUCUGUGCAGAGUACGGAGAUAUCAUCAGUCAUAAUUAGUGAUAUUUGACUCAUAACUAGGUGCUCCUAUUUGCUCAGCCAUCCAAGAUGGAAAAAAGUUACAAUAAAUAAUUUGUCAAUCACUUUAUUCACAACAACUUUUUAGUUGACAAGUUUUUCAUAUUUAAGCUGCCUGCGGAGGUAGAACAUUUUGGAAGUACUGACUUUCUAUGAACAAGCCAAAUUGACUGUUGUAUUUUUUUGCCCAGGAGUGCGAUUGAGCUAUGAAAACUGUGGAAAAUACUAAAAUAUACAUUUCCUACACAAGUAUUGCAGUAUUGAAAUUUUUUGGAAAAAAAAUUUUUCCCAAAAUUUUUUCAUAAGGGGGGACCCUUAUCAAAAUUUUAAAAUCAGUGGAAAAUAUUUUUAAUUAAAUUUUUAUUGAACUUAACUUUUUUUCAAUUAUAUGUUGGUUUCAAUCACAAAUCACAUUUACGACUCAAAGUGAUUUUUUCUUUUCUACGACUUCAAUAUAAGAGCGAGAAACCAUUUCAAAAGAAGCUCCAAACGCAAAUGGCAACGACACUCCGAAAUAACGGUUGCGCGCCCUCUUUACCGUAAAUCCUCCUCAUUUUCGAAAUUAUUUUUUCACCAUUUUUUUCUUUUUCUUCGAUUUUUCAUAGUUUUCUUCAGCAAUUCUUUGAUUUUUUUGGCAAAAAUAAUUAUUUUCCGUAAAUAUACUCGUGUUUCAGCAUAUCCGACGUUGAGGUACCGAUUCAUCCGCGGAUCCGACGCGGAAUCCAUAGAAAUGGAGAGACUCGUCUCUGGAGUUUGGAUGGGAGUGUGCUGCUGAUUCUGAAAAUUCGAGUUGAUAAAAUUUUGGGUUAAAAAAUUAAUGAUUACAUUGACAAAUUGAGCACAAAUUUCCGACUUCCGGUCUUUAAUUGUAGCAUGGAUCUCGACUUAAUGGACGAAUUCUCGGAUCAGAGUCUAGCAUCAGGGCAAUCAAACUGCGAAGAUCUGUAGAAGUUCCAGCGAAGACAGUCAGAUGGGACAGAAUAAUGUGAUCGACGAUGCUCCACCACCAACACGCUCACGUGGACUGUGAUAUUUGUCAACUCGACGAUUAUUCAUCACGUAAGAAAAAUAGUUGAUACUUAAUUAAAAACCAUUUUUUGUUUUCAGCGACUUCAACAAUCACCGACUCCUGCCGCCUCGUCGCCUCGGAACGUGUCAUCUGCAUCGACAAACCCGUCCCCAUCCGAAUAAUUUUCUAUUUUUUUUCAAAUUUUAUUUUAUUUUUUUAUAAAAUAAAAAUUUUUAUGAACUAUCAAUUGUUAUUAAGGAACCGCAAAUUUCAAUAUAUGGCGAAUAACGGGGUGCCAGCUAGCUGGGCAUUCGGAGCGUCCUCAUCAUUUACCGGUCCGUUUUUCGCGAGUUCUUCAUCGAAUAGCGGCCCGCGCCUUCACCAAAGCCAUGUACCGUUUUCGCGAAAUAGCGGCCCGUCACCCGACGAAUAUUCGCAUGACGCGGUUUACCUGUGCACUCAACCAACCAACCGAUGAUUUGCUCACACCACGCGCCUGGUGACAACUAUGGUGUCCCGGGCUGAUGCCGACCGUUGAUUUAGUAUACAAAUCAACCGAUUUCAGACCGAAUUUUCAAAACGUCAUAACUUUGCUGAAACCCAACCUGGGCAGCUAAAUUUUUUGGAGGGAUCAUCUGGAAUACUCUUCUAUUGGAAUUUCAACAUGAGAAUCCCAAAUCUAGGGACCCCCUCAAAGACUUCCCUUGUGAGGGAGGUUUUCGUUUUUAAUUAAAGAUUUUGCAGCAUAAGACAAUGGGAGAGUUUCAAUAUAAUUUCGAUGAUGAGGAUACUGUGCUGAUCGGAAAUUAUGAAGAAGUUGGAACAGAAAUUGAUGAGGCAGAUGAACAACAUAAUGAGGAGAACAGUGAAGAUGAUGAAGAGGAUGAGAGCCCGAUUCCUUCAAAAAAGCGAGUUUCGUUUGCUGUUCCACUUGUUCAAAGUCGCUCCAAACAAAAGGAUGAAAUGAAUAAAGUUCAUAUCAUUAAAUGCCAUUUUGAUGUGAGUUUCUGAGAACAAAUAAAUAUGAAAAAUCAACAUUUUCUUCCCGUUUAGAAGUGUAACAAAUCGUACAAUUGGCGCAAAAAAUACGGUAAACUACGUCUUGUGGAUCACGCCUUCACUCAUGUCCCUCACUUGAAAAUGAAGUGCAAUUUUUGUGAUUACAUGUGCAAAGGAAUUAGAAAUAUUAGGCUUCAUCACAAGAAAAGUCAUCCUGAUGAACAAUUAACGGGAUUUGGUAUCAAAAGGUACUUUGAGAUUCCAAAAAUUAAUGUAUUUGUCUUAUUUUUCAGUGUGGUCCGUACUUCGAAAAAAGGAAAAGACUUGGCGAAGGUUUGGGAUGAAUGUUUUAAAAGUAAGUGAAGUAUAUAUGAAAAAGUUAUAAUUUAAAAUGUUAACUUUCUAGAAAAUCGUGUCCUUCAACAUGGAUCUGGUACCGAUUCAAACCUAUUGCAUUUCUCAAGACAAGACAAAGGAUCUAAAAGAUCACAGAAAUCUAUGGAUUCUGGUGCAAAACAAAAAUUGGAUGAAGCUAGGGACGAGGAUGUGAAGCCAUUUUAGUGAGCAUUAAGUUUAAAACAUUCCGCGUCAUUUUUUUAUUCAGUUUCUUCAGAAUUCGAUGAGCUUCGUCGUCGGGCCGUCUGCUUUUUGUAAAUUGUGUCUCAUGUGUUAUUAUCGUUGAUGUUAUAUUAUGUUGUUUUUAAUGCAUUCUAUGCGACUUUUCUUUUAAUAAUUCUGAAGGUCUUCAUUUUAUCACCGCUUUAAUUUAUAAUUACGACAUGUUGUUUCACUCAAGUUUGAAAAUAUUUCUUGCUAAGACCUACUUUAAAUGUUAAUCGCCGUUUCAUUUGGAACUUUCUUGCUGCUGCCCAUUUUCGAUAUAACUUUUUGAAAGUGGAGCACUCCAGAUAGACUUAAAAUUCUAUUAAUUUAAAUAUGUUCUUACAAGAAUUUUCUAGAUGACCUGCGAUGAUUGGAACAGUUUUAUUCAAGUGAACAUUUAUGGAAAAACCAUAGAAGGACUUCAGCAGCAAGGAGUUGUGUUGGAAACUCUUUUGGUUAGUUUGAUUAAUAAUUUUGAUUUCUCGUUAUACUUUUUUUCCAAAGUACAUAUUUUCAGAACAAUGUCGGCUGCUCCAAGCUUUGGAUUGUGGAGGGAUCCGUGUGCACCAGCUCAACUCCUGAAAGCUCUACAUAUUCUGAAAAACGUACAAUCGAACCAGUUGUUUCACUAAGUACAACUCUGGCCACUAACAAGCUUCCUCGAUUUUCAACUCCUGCUGUCGGCCAUUCAAAAUAUAAUUCUGCAAAAAAUUUCACAUUGAAUUUGGCUGAGAAGCUAUCGGAGAUUCUAUCGGAUGACGAUAAAACUGAUAAAUGCCUGGAGAACUCUUAUCAAUCCGAAACUUCCAGGGAAGACGUGAUUCAGGAUUUGCUCGAAGAAAUGGUACAAACUGUUGCCGAUGUUGAUCAAGCUCCGAUUCUUUUGAGCACAACUCUCGCAAAUAUUGGUGUUCCCCGCUUUUCAACUCCCAUCAAACCACAAAAUGGUUUGGAUCGAAAGUUUACAAUGAACAUGACAGAAAGAAUUUCCGAAAUUGAUUCGAAUUAUCUUGGUUAUGAAGUACUCGACGAUUCCAACAAAAUUUUGACCGCCAACUGCGAGGAAGUCGAAAUGUCGUUGUGUGAGAACAUUCCUGGUGUCAACAAUGCCAGAACUUUCUCAAAUACGCCCUACGACGAUUUUCUUAAUAUUUAUUCGACUCCAAAAAAUCCAAAAUCGAAUUCCAGUGUUCCAUAUCAGGAAGGAAAGAGGAGAAGCUCGAGACGUUUGAGUACUCUGAGUAGUCUCAAGGAAACUGUCAAAAUAGAGCCUGCAGUCUCAAAAUCAACGAAGAGAAGUCGGCUCGCGUAAGUUUUUUUUUUCGUUGCGAGCUUUCUGAAUUUUCGAAGUUCGUUUGGAGAAAAUGUAAUUUCUUUCAAAAUGAUAAAUAUGGGUUUUUUUACUAACUGUAUGUCUAAAAAGCUCAGGUUCAAAUUUUAGAUGCAUCUAAACUUUAAGCAGAACUCAUGUCGAUUAAAAAAAAAGUUCCAUUAUUUAAAAAAAACUUUUUUUGGUAUCGAAAGGACUAAAGUUAUAAAUAUACUCAAAACUCCUAACGAUUCCAAUCACCGAUAGUUAUUUACUUAAGAAUUUCGUUAUUUUCAGGCCGAUUCAAAUUUUAAGUCAAACUGUGCGUCCUAAUAUUGAACAUACAUUUCCUGUUUCUACAUCAGCUAUUCAAUCAGAUGGUUUUUCGUACGAACAUCCAAUUAAUGAAUAUGGAGAUAAUGAAUCAUUUUCAUCAGCAAAAAGUCAUUGUGAUGAGCCCAGUUUUUGUAAUGCUGUCGACUUGAAGCCAGUUCUGAAAGUUUUGAAUUCUGGAAGAACAGUUUUGACUGGAAGCAUUAUCAGUGAUCAACCUCCAGUCAUAGAACUGUCAAGAGAUGUAAUGUUUAAAAAUCGAAUUUGAAAUAAUCACAACUUGUUGAGUUAUCCGUUUUCAUUAAUGAAAUUGCAGCAUAACAUCGAAGGAGUGUUUCAAAAUAAUUUCGUUGACGUCGAGGAUACUAUGUUGAUUGAAAACUAUGAAGAGGUGGGAGCCGAAAUCGUUGAAGUAGAUGAUCAAGAUCAGUAUGAGGUUAUCAGUGAAGAUGAUGAAAAGGAAAAGAGCCCGAUUCCUUCGAAAAAUCGAGUUUCAUUUGCAUUUCCACUUGUUCAAAGUCCCAACAAACAAAAAGAAGAAAUGAAUAAAGUUCAUAACAUUAAAUGCCAUUUUGAUGUGAGUUGUUUUGCCGCGUUGUCAGAGAAAAAACUGAAUUUCAAUAAAAAGUCGCAUAGAUAUAAUGUGUUUCAAUCAAUAAUCUUUUCAGAACUGUAAUCGAAAAAUUCACUGGAAGAUUCGUUAUGGAAAACUUAGACUGGUCGAUCAUGCACUAUCACAUCAAGAGGAAAAAUCCAUUGACUGCCAGAAAUGUGAAUAUUCAUGCCAGACAACUCGACAAAUGCGUUAUCACUACAAAAAGAUUCAUGCAAAUCUGAAAAUGGAAGGCUUCGGAAUUCUCAAGUGAGAUUUUUUAAAACUAACCGUUUGAAAACUGAUAAACCCCUCUUGUAGCAUUCCUCUUCAAAAUACCAAAUUCUCAGAUGUAUGGAAUAAAUGUUUUGGAGGUACAUUAUUCUAAUUAUUUAGAGAUUACAUGCUAUUCAAAUUCCAGAUCAACUGAAAACGAUCGGACCCGUUAGAAAAGCUGAACGAACUCCUCGUCGAAAACUCAAAAGUAUUCGCUUAUAGAAAACCAAAAUCUCUUCUAGAGUACAAGCGGAAGAUGUGAAGAUGUUUUUGUAAGCUCCAUAACUGCUCAUAUCACUAAUUUCAAAUCCAGUUUUAACAGAAUUUAAUGAGCAUCACGACGACACCCUCAUGUACAAUUAUUAUCAUGUUCUAAUUAUUUUGUAGUUUUACAGAAAUAAAAUACAGUGUUUUUUCAGUUAAUUGUGUUUUUUUUUUUUGGAUUAAUCGUUCUUUUGACGAAUCAAACAUGAUAUUUUCACAAUUAUUUAGAGUCAAAAAUGUAGUUUUUAUAAAUGUAAAUGUUAAAAAUUAUUUCAAAAAAAGAAAUGCUGUAUGCAACAAAAUUUAAAAACUAAUUGUAAGUAAAUACAGUAUUAUAUUUCUUCCUACCGUAUACUUUCAAGGCACAUUAUACUUUUGUCAAAGGUCUCACAACGAUCAGGUCUUUCUUCAUUUCUAGAUUUGUCGGAAGUAUUUUGUUUCGUUUCCGCGUUUUAGUUCCUGUUCUUUUUGUAUUUUAACCAGUAGAUGAAUAAAGACUGUUUUAAGCCUGAUAUUUAUCAUCAUGAUAACAAACUUUCAAUUUCUUCACUAUUCAUUGCGAUGAAUUUAUGUAAAUAACGGUUGUCGAUACGCCUGAGAACAUGUUUUUGGACAUUUUUUUAAUUCUUGAUGUUUUCAUGGUAUAUUUUUCAGAUGACCUGCGAUGACUGGAACAGUUUUAUUCAAGUGAACAUUUAUGGGAAAACUAUAGAAGGUCUUCAGCAACAGGGAGUUGUGUUGGAAUCUCUUUUG